Molecule: ribosomal RNA, 753 nt
Filed under: uncultured bacterium
Lineage: Bacteria
Description: bacterial SSU rRNA
Rfam family: Bacterial small subunit ribosomal RNA
Source: RNAcentral
CAGUCGACGGACUCAUAUUGAAACCUAGUGAUUUAUGAGUUAGUGGCGGACGGGUGAGUAACGCGUGGAUAACCUGCCGUAUACCGGGGGAUAACACUUAGAAAUAGGUGCUAAUACCGCAUAAGCGCACGGCUCCGCAUGGGGCAGUGUGAAAAACUCCGGUGGUAUACGAUGGAUCCGCGUCUGAUUAGCUAGUUGGCGGGGUAACGGCCCACCAAGGCAGCGAUCAGUAGCCGGCCUGAGAGGGUGGACGGCCACAUUGGGACUGAGACACGGCCCAAACUCCUACGGGAGGCAGCAGUGGGGAAUAUUGCACAAUGGGGGAAACCCUGAUGCAGCGACGCCGCGUGAGUGAAGAAGUAUCUCGGUACGUAAAGCUCUAUCAGCAGGGAAGAAAAUGACGGUACCUGACUAAGAAGCCCCGGCUAACUACGUGCCAGCAGCCGCGGUAAUACGUAGGGGGCAAGCGUUAUCCGGAUUUACUGGGUGUAAAGGGAGCGUAGACGGCAGCACAAGUCUGGAGUGAAAUCCCGGGGCUUAACCCCGGAACUGCUUUGGAAACUGUGCGGCUGGAGUGCAGGAGGGGUAAGCGGAAUUCCUAGUGUAGCGGUGAAAUGCGUAGAUAUUAGGAGGAACACCGGUGGCGAAGGCGGCUUACUGGACUGUAACUGACGUUGAGGCUCGAAAGCGUGGGGAGCAAACAGGAUUAGAUACCCUGGUAGUCCACGCCGUAAACGAUGAUUACUAGGUGUC